CCUACGGGAGGCAGCAGUAGGGAAUAUUGCUCAAUGGGGGAAACCCUGAAGCAGCAACGCCGCGUGGAGGAUGAAGGUUUUCGGAUUGUAAACUCCUUUUGUUAGAGAAGAUAAUGACGGUAUCUAACGAAUAAGCACCGGCUAACUCCGUGCCAGCAGCCGCGGUAAUACGGAGGGUGCAAGCGUUACUCGGAAUCACUGGGCGUAAAGAGCGCGUAGGCGGGAUAGCAAGUCAGAGGUGAAAUCCUAGGGCUUAACCAUAGAACUGCAUUUGAAACUGUUAUUCUAGAGUAUGGGAGAGGUAGGUGGAAUGCUUGGUGUAGGGGUAAAAUCCGUAGAGAUCAAGAGGAAUACUCAUUGCGAAGGCGACCUGCUAGAACAUAACUGACGCUGAUGCGCGAAAGCGUGGGGAGCAAACAGGAUGAGAUACCCUAGUAGUC
Molecule: ribosomal RNA, 440 nt
Filed under: uncultured bacterium
Lineage: Bacteria
Description: partial 16S ribosomal RNA
Rfam family: Bacterial small subunit ribosomal RNA
Source: RNAcentral